RNAcentral lists this ribosomal RNA (468 nucleotides) under uncultured bacterium. Its description in RNAcentral is "partial 16S ribosomal RNA". It matches the Rfam family "Bacterial small subunit ribosomal RNA", at positions 28 to 507 of the family's 1533-position model. The record is from RNAcentral.
GACGAACGCUGGCGGCGUGCUUAACACAUGCAAGUCGAACGGAAAGGCCCUGCUUUUGUGGGGUGCUCGAGUGGCGAACGGGUGAGUAACACGUGAGUAACCUGCCCUUGACUUUGGGAUAACUUCAGGAAACUGGGGCUAAUACCGGAUAGGAGCUCCUGCUGCAUGGUGGGGGUUGGAAAGUUUCGGCGGUUGGGGAUGGACUCGCGGCUUAUCAGCUUGUUGGUGGGGUAGUGGCUUACCAAGGCUUUGACGGGUAGCCGGCCUGGGCGGGUGACCGGCCCCAUUGGGCCUGGGAUACGGCCCGGACUCCUACGGGAGGCAGCAGUGGGGAUUAUUGCCCAAUGGGCGGAAGCCUGAUGCAGCAACGCCGCGUGCGGGAUGACGGCCUUCGGGUUGUAACCCGCUUUCGCCUGUGACGAAGCGUGAGUGACGGUAAUGGGUAAAGAAGCACCGGCUAACUACGUG